RNAcentral lists this transfer RNA (71 nucleotides) under Arceuthobium minutissimum. Its description in RNAcentral is "tRNA-Ala". It matches the Rfam family "tRNA". From Rfam's summary of the family: Transfer RNA (tRNA) molecules are approximately 80 nucleotides in length. Their secondary structure includes four short double-helical elements and three loops (D, anti-codon, and T loops). Further hydrogen bonds mediate the characteristic L-shaped molecular structure. tRNAs have two regions of fundamental functional importance: the anti-codon, which is responsible for specific mRNA codon recognition, and the 3' end, to which the tRNAs corresponding amino acid is attached (by aminoacyl-tRNA synthetases). tRNAs cope with the degeneracy of the genetic code in two manners: having more than one tRNA (with a specific anti-codon) for a particular amino acid; and 'wobble' base-pairing, i.e. permitting non-standard base-pairing at the 3rd anti-codon position. Lineage: Eukaryota; Viridiplantae; Streptophyta; Magnoliopsida; Santalales; Viscaceae. The record is from RNAcentral.
GGGGAUAUAGCUCAGGUAGAGCUCUGCUCUUGCAAUGGCGGAUGUCAGCGGUUCGAGUCCGCUUAUCUCCA